This 1476-nucleotide ribosomal RNA is filed under the name Salmonella enterica. RNAcentral's name for it is "partial 23S ribosomal RNA". It matches the Rfam family "Bacterial large subunit ribosomal RNA", at positions 711 to 2167 of the family's 2925-position model. RNAcentral also lists the same sequence under 3 other names. Lineage: Bacteria; Pseudomonadati; Pseudomonadota; Gammaproteobacteria; Enterobacterales; Enterobacteriaceae. The record is from RNAcentral.
AGACCCGAAACCCGGUGAUCUAGCCAUGGGCAGGUUGAAGGUUGGGUAACACUAACUGGAGGACCGAACCGACUAAUGUUGAAAAAUUAGCGGAUGACCUGUGGCUGGGGGUGAAAGGCCAAUCAAACCGGGAGAUAGCUGGUUCUCCCCGAAAGCUAUUUAGGUAGCGCCUCGUGAAUUCAUCUCCGGGGGUAGAGCACUGUUUCGGCUAGGGGGCCAUCCCGGCUUACCAACCCGAUGCAAACUGCGAAUACCGGAGAAUGUUAUCACGGGAGACACACGGCGGGUGCUAACGUCCGUCGUGAAGAGGGAAACAACCCAGACCGCCAGCUAAGGUCCCAAAGUCAUGGUUAAGUGGGAAACGAUGUGGGAAGGCCCAGACAGCCAGGAUGUUGGCUUAGAAGCAGCCAUCAUUUAAAGAAAGCGUAAUAGCUCACUGGUCGAGUCGGCCUGCGCGGAAGAUGUAACGGGGCUAAACCAUGCACCGAAGCUGCGGCAGCGACGCUGAUGCGUUGUUGGGUAGGGGAGCGUUCUGUAAGCCUGCGAAGGUGUGUCGUGAGGCAUGCUGGAGGUAUCAGAAGUGCGAAUGCUGACAUAAGUAACGAUAAAGCGGGUGAAAAGCCCGCUCGCCGGAAGACCAAGGGUUCCUGUCCAACGUUAAUCGGGGCAGGGUGAGUCGACCCCUAAGGCGAGGCCGAAAGGCGUAGUCGAUGGGAAACGGGUUAAUAUUCCCGUACUUGGUGUUACUGCGAAGGGGGGACGGAGAAGGCUAUGUUGGCCGGGCGACGGUUGUCCCGGUUUAAGCGUGUAGGUGUGUGUUCCAGGUAAAUCCGGUUCACUUUAACACUGAGGCGUGAUGACGAGGCACUACGGUGCUGAAGCAACAAAUGCCCUGCUUCCAGGAAAAGCCUCUAAGCAUCAGGUAACAUCAAAUCGUACCCCAAACCGACACAGGUGGUCAGGUAGAGAAUACCAAGGCGCUUGAGAGAACUCGGGUGAAGGAACUAGGCAAAAUGGUGCCGUAACUUCGGGAGAAGGCACGCUGACACGUAGGUGAAGUGAUUUACUCAUGGAGCUGAAGUCAGUCGAAGAUACCAGCUGGCUGCAACUGUUUAUUAAAAACACAGCACUGUGCAAACACGAAAGUGGACGUAUACGGUGUGACGCCUGCCCGGUGCCGGAAGGUUAAUUGAUGGGGUCAGCGCAAGCGAAGCUCCUGAUCGAAGCCCCGGUAAACGGCGGCCGUAACUAUAACGGUCCUAAGGUAGCGAAAUUCCUUGUCGGGUAAGUUCCGACCUGCACGAAUGGCGUAAUGAUGGCCAGGCUGUCUCCACCCGAGACUCAGUGAAAUUGAACUCGCUGUGAAGAUGCAGUGUACCCGCGGCAAGACGGAAAGACCCCGUGAACCUUUACUAUAGCUUGACACUGAACAUUGAGCCUUGAUGUGUAGGAUAGGUGGGAGGCUUUGAAGUGUGG